UACGUAGGCAGCGAGCGUUGUUCGGAGUUACUGGGCGUAAAGGGUGUGUAGGCGGUUUUCUAAGUUUGGUGUGAAAUCUCCCGGCUCAACCGGGAGGGUGCGCCGAAAACUGGGAGACUAGAGUGCGGGAUGGGAGAGUAGAAUUCCUGGUGUAGCGGUGAAAUGCGUAGAUAUCAGGAGGAAUACCGGUGGGGUAGACGGCUCUCUGGACCGCCACUGACGCUGAGACACGAAAGCGUGGGUAGCAAACAGG
This 253-nucleotide ribosomal RNA is filed under the name uncultured bacterium. RNAcentral describes it as "partial 16S ribosomal RNA". It matches the Rfam family "Bacterial small subunit ribosomal RNA", at positions 524 to 776 of the family's 1533-position model. The record is from RNAcentral.